Molecule: long non-coding RNA, 604 nt
Filed under: Sinocyclocheilus grahami
Lineage: Eukaryota; Metazoa; Chordata; Actinopteri; Cypriniformes; Cyprinidae
Description: lncRNA (ENSSGRG00000022208.1)
Source: RNAcentral
CCAAAAACCGGUAUUAUUUAUUAACGAAUGGCGAUAUCUCUUAUACUACGAUUUAUAUUGGUAUUAUUUUCCUAUGUGUCACUUAUCAUUCAAUCCACCUGCAUUUCUCUGUAAUUACGUAAAACUGUAAUAUAUCCUGUUGAGUGUGCUGGAUUUUCCCCUCAGCAGCCAGAUGACAAGAAUCUGACCAAACGCGUCAGGACAGUGCUAUCGCUUCUCAAUGCGGAAACUAAGUGUUUAAAUAUCUCUAACAUGAUUUCACUCGACCUACUUUGAAGAAAACCAGCCGUCACGGUUCCGUCUCGCGCGGCUUCUGGAAUGAUCGUGUCUGCUGCUUCUUUCAGAUCGCGGACCUUCAGGCGCUGCACUGCUGCUCACGCCAGAUAACCAGUAGCGCUCUGGCAUCUGGCCAGGUGGAGAGCCGUGGUCCGAUCUCUCAUGCCCCCAACAGCCCCGCAGGAAUGGAGAGCAGUCAACCAAUCACCAUCACAGACCCGGUUACACGGCGGAAGAAGAAACGCAGAACUCGGGCCGCAGACAGUUUCACUGGCAAAUUUAGUGGUACUAAACCAUCUUGAACUUUACAAAAGCUCUUAUUAAUCCU